This 247-nucleotide ribosomal RNA is filed under the name uncultured bacterium. Its description in RNAcentral is "partial 16S ribosomal RNA". It matches the Rfam family "Bacterial small subunit ribosomal RNA", at positions 333 to 594 of the family's 1533-position model. The record is from RNAcentral.
UUCCUCCUACGGGGGGCAGCAGUGGGGAAUAUUGGGCAAUGGGCGCAAGCCUGACCCAGCAACGCCGCGUGAAGGAAGAAGGCUUUCGGGUUGUAAACUUCUUUUCUGGGGGACGAAGAAAGUGACGGUACCCCAGGAAUAAGCCACGGCUAACUACGUGCCAGCAGCCGCGGUAAUACGUAGGUGGCAAGCGUUAUCCGGAUUUAUUGGGUGUAAAGGGCGUGUAGGCGGGAAUGCAAGUCAGAUG